Molecule: long non-coding RNA, 362 nt
Organism: Quercus robur (English oak)
Lineage: Eukaryota; Viridiplantae; Streptophyta; Magnoliopsida; Fagales; Fagaceae
Exons: 3
Source: RefSeq, a predicted model, not a curated record
AAACCUGGUUGACGCCACAAUCGCAGCGUUGCCAUGUUAAGAAUCAACAACCAAAUUUUUGCAUCGAAUUCAAUUUCCACAGCUUGCAAAUCUAAGGAAACGCAGAGGUUGAUGCCCAUUGCCAUCUUCUCUCACUGCCCAAACCUCCUCAGCGACACUUUAUGUAUGUGAUUUUUGAAGGCUUGAGAGAAUGUGAAGAGGUUGCUACCUCCUUGAAUGAAAGGGAUCUUGAAUACCUUGAAGCUGCCUGUUUGCUUCACAGUGUUGGGCCUUUCAUGGGAAAAAAGGGUUACCAUAAGCAGACUUAUCGAAUAAUCAUGGAUGGUGGUCAUCUUCAUGGUUAUAGUACUGAGGAGGUCAGG